UACAGAGGUCCCAAGCGUUGUUCGGAUUCACUGGGCGUAAAGGGUGCGUAGGUGGCGAGGUAAGUCGGAUGUGAAAGCUCGGAGCUCAACUCCGAAAUGGCAUUGGAAACUACCUUGCUCGAGGGUUGGAGGGGGGACUGGAAUUCUCGGUGUAGCAGUGAAAUGCGUAGAUAUCGAGAGGAACACCAAUGGCGAAGGCGAGUCCCUGGACAACUCCUGACACUGAGGCACGAAAGCUAGGGGAGCAAACAGG
RNAcentral lists this ribosomal RNA (253 nucleotides) under uncultured bacterium. RNAcentral's name for it is "partial 16S ribosomal RNA". It matches the Rfam family "Bacterial small subunit ribosomal RNA", at positions 524 to 776 of the family's 1533-position model. The record is from RNAcentral.